Molecule: ribosomal RNA, 1233 nt
Filed under: human gut metagenome
Description: bacterial LSU rRNA
Rfam family: Bacterial large subunit ribosomal RNA
Source: RNAcentral
UCGAAAGUCUAAGGUUUCCUGGGGAAGGUUCGUCCGCCCAGGGUAAGUCGGGACCUAAGGAGAGGCCGAAAGGCGUAUCUGAUGGAUAGCAGGUUGAAAUUCCUGCACUACGACCAUACUUAAAAGAUGCAAGGGACGCAGGAGAGGAAGAUAAGCGAGGAAGAGGAAAGACUCGUACCGAAAGGGAUAGUGAAAAAAUAAAGUAACGAAGUAUCAAGAAUCACACUGACGAGAAAAGCUUGUAGAGCUUGUAUGGUAGUACCCGUACCGCAAACCGACACAGGUAGAUGAGGAGAGGAUCCUAAGACGAGCGGGAGAAGCAUUGUUAAGGAACUCGGCAAAAUAACCCCGUAACUUCGGGAGAAGGGGAGCCUAAGUAACAUUAGGUCGCAGAGAAAAGGCCCAAGCAACUGUUUAACAAAAACACAGGUUUCUGCUAAAUCGAAAGAUGAAGUAUAGGAGCUGACGCCUGCCCAGUGCUGGAAGGUCAAGGGGAAGUGUAAUGAGAAAUCAGAAGCAUAGAACCAAAGCCCCAGUGAACGGCGGCCGUAACUAUAACGGUCCUAAGGUAGCGAAAUUCCUUGUCAGGUAAGUUCUGACCCGCACGAAAGGCGUAAUGAUUUGGGCACUGUCUCGACAAUGUACCCGGCGAAAUUGUAGUACUAGUGAAGAUGCUAGUUACCUGCGACAAGACAGAAAGACCCCAUGGAGCUUUACUGUAGUUUGAUACUGGGUUUCGAUAAUUUAUGUACAGGAUAGGUGGGAGACGAAGAAAGUUAGGCGUCAGCUUAACUGGAGUCACCCUUGGGAUACCACCCUUAAGUUAUUGAAAUUCUAACCUGUGAUCAUAAGCUGGUCAGGGGACAAUGUCAGACGGGCAGUUUGACUGGGGCGGUCGCCUCCAAAAGAGUAACGGAGGCGCCCAAAGGUUUCCUCAGCGCGGACAGAAAUCGCGCGAAAGAGUGUAAAGGCAGAAGGAAGCUUAACUGGGAGACAGACAUGUCGAUCAGAUACGAAAGUAGGGCUUAGUGAUCCGGUGGUAGAAAAUGGAAUUGCCAUCGCUCAACGGACAAAAGUUACCCUGGGGAUAACAGGCUUAUCUCCCCCAAGAGUUCACAUCGACGGGGAGGUUUGGCACCUCGAUGUCGGCUCAUCGCAUCCUGGAGCGGAAGUACGUUCCAAGGGUUGGGCUGUUCGCCCAUUAAAGCGGUACGCGAGCUGGGUUCAGAACGU